RNAcentral lists this ribosomal RNA (496 nucleotides) under uncultured bacterium. RNAcentral describes it as "partial 16S ribosomal RNA". It matches the Rfam family "Bacterial small subunit ribosomal RNA", at positions 29 to 507 of the family's 1533-position model. The record is from RNAcentral.
AUGAACGCUGGCGGCGUGCCUAAUCCAUGCAAGUCGAGCGAACGGACGAGAAGCUUGCUUCUCUGAUGUUAUCGGCGGACGGGUGAGUAACACGUGGAUAACCUACCUAUAAGACUGGGAUAACUUCGGGAAACCGGAGCUAAUACCGGAUAAUAUUUUGAACCGCAUGGUUCAAAAGUGAAAGACGGUCUUGCUGUCACUUAUAGAUGGAUCCGCGCUGCAUUAGCUAGUUGGUAAGGUAACGGCUUACCAAGGCAACGAUGCAUAGCCGACCUGAGAGGGUGAUCGGCCACACUGGAACUGAGACACGGUCCAGACUCCUACGGGAGGCAGCAGUAGGGAAUUUUCCGCAAUGGGCGAAAGCCUGACGGAGCAACGCCGCGUGAGUGAUGAAGGUCUUCGGAUCGUAAAACUCUGUUAUUAGGGAAGAACAUAUGUGUAAGUAACUGUGCACAUCUUGACGGUACCUAAUCAGAAAGCCACGGCUAACUACGUG